UGCGGCUUAAUUUGACUCAACACGGGGAAACUUACCAGGUCCAGACAUAGUAAGGAUUGACAGACUGAGAGCUCUUUCGAUUUUUUUUUUUUUUUUUUUUUGAGGUGAAUGUG
This 113-nucleotide non-coding RNA is filed under the name Ipomoea nil (Japanese morning glory). Its description in RNAcentral is "Eukaryotic small subunit ribosomal RNA". It matches the Rfam family "Eukaryotic small subunit ribosomal RNA", at positions 1184 to 1308 of the family's 1831-position model. Lineage: Eukaryota; Viridiplantae; Streptophyta; Magnoliopsida; Solanales; Convolvulaceae. The record is from Rfam by way of RNAcentral.